This 473-nucleotide ribosomal RNA is filed under the name uncultured bacterium. RNAcentral's name for it is "SSU rRNA". It matches the Rfam family "Bacterial small subunit ribosomal RNA", at positions 26 to 518 of the family's 1533-position model. The record is from RNAcentral.
AGGACGAACGCUGGCGGCGUGCUUAACACAUGCAAGUCGAGCGGAAAGGCCCUUCGGGGUACUCGAGCGGCGAACGGGUGAGUAACACGUGAGUAAUCUGCCCCUAGCUCUGGGAUAGCUCCGGGAAACCGGGAUUAAUACUAGAUACGACCACUUUAGACAUCUGCUGUGGUGGAAAGAAUUUCGGCUAGGGAUGAGCUCGCGGCCUAUCAGCUUGUUGGUGAGGUAACGGCUCACCAAGGCGACGACGGGUAGCCGGCCUGAGAGGGCGACCGGCCACACUGGGACUGAGACACGGCCCAGACUCCUACGGGAGGCAGCAGUGGGGAAUAUUGCGCAAUGGGCGAAAGCCUGACGCAGCGACGCCGCGUGGGGGAUGAAGGCCUUCGGGUUGUAAACCCUUUCAGCAGGGACGAAGCGAAAGUGACGGUACCUGCAGAAGAAGCGCCGGCUAACUACGUGCCAGCAGCCGC